This 233-nucleotide ribosomal RNA is filed under the name uncultured bacterium. RNAcentral's name for it is "partial 16S ribosomal RNA". It matches the Rfam family "Bacterial small subunit ribosomal RNA", at positions 118 to 347 of the family's 1533-position model. The record is from RNAcentral.
UGAGGAACAUGACCUUCGGCGGGGGAUAGCCGGCCCAACGGCCGGGUAAUACCGCGUACGACCACAUGGGGACAUCCCUGAGUGGUGAAAGCAGCAAUGCGCCGAUGGAGUGCCUCGCGGCCUAUCAGCUAGUUGGUGAGGUAACGGCUCACCAAGGCGACGACGGGUAGCUGGUCUGGAGAGGAUGGCCAGCCACAGUUGGGACUGAGACACGGCCCAGACCUCUACGGGAG